CUAACCCAAACCCUAACCCUAGUGUCUGUGAGAUCCUACACAAUCUACCAAACGAUCAUUGUACAGAAAUAAGCAUGGACCGAACACGUAUCGAUUCACAACAUCUGUGGUGCUCAAGGUCCUUGACUAGGGUUCCUGACUUAUCUGCUUUGCAUGUUGAUUCGUGGGAGAGGAGUAGAUGAAGCAUACGUUCCAGAACUGGAGCUACCAGUUUGGCCAAGUUUUCUGCUCUUCGUCCAACAAGCUGGAUUUCCAUCUACUUGCAUUCAUCACAUAUUUUUAUUUAUUUAUUUAUUUAUUUUUGCAGAGCUAGUUUGUUUCACCUACUCGCAUCUAC
This is a long non-coding RNA of Tachysurus fulvidraco (yellow catfish), 337 nucleotides long. RefSeq lists it as uncharacterized. The record is from RefSeq and is a predicted model, not a curated record. NCBI's taxonomy places the organism in Eukaryota, Metazoa, Chordata, Actinopteri, Siluriformes, Bagridae. The transcript is spliced from 3 exons.